UAUGGUCAUAUCACAUUGAAAUACUGGUUCUCAUAGAUCACCAAAGUUAAGCAACAUCAAGCCUGGUCAAUACUUAGAUGGGUGAUCACUUGAGAAUACCAGGUGCU
Acanthosepion pharaonis is the source of this 107-nucleotide non-coding RNA. The record is from the annotation of a GenBank genome assembly. Lineage: Eukaryota; Metazoa; Mollusca; Cephalopoda; Sepiida; Sepiidae.